Molecule: long non-coding RNA, 3273 nt
Filed under: Homo sapiens (human)
Lineage: Eukaryota; Metazoa; Chordata; Mammalia; Primates; Hominidae
Description: HSALNT0283027
Source: RNAcentral
UUGUUAAUUGUGCCGCUAUAAACAUGCGUGUGCAAGUAUCUUUUUCGAAUAAUAACUUCUUUUUUUCUGGGUAGAUACCCAGUUGUGGGAUUGCUGGAUCAAAUGGUAGUUCUACUUUUAGGUCUUUAAGGAAUCUCCACACUGUUUUCCAUAGCAGCUGCACUAGUUUACAUUUCCACUAGCAAUGUAGAAGAAGUGUUCCCUGAUCACCUCAUUUACACCAACAUCUACUGUUUUUUGAUUUUUUUAUUAUGGCCAUUCUUUCAGGAAUAAGGUGGUAUCGCAUUGUGGUUUUGAUUUGCAUUUCCCUGAUCAUUAGUGAUGUUGAACAUUUUUUCAUGUGUUUGUUGGCCAUUUGUAUAUCUUCUUUUAAGAAUUGUCUAUUCAUGUCCUUAGCCCACUUUUUGAUGGGAUUGAUUGUUUUUUUCCUUACUGAUUUGUUUGAGUUCGUUGUAGAGUCUGGAUAUUAGUCCUUUGUCAGAUGUAUAGAUUGUGAAGAUUUUCUCCCACUCUGUGUUGUCUGUUUACUUUGACGACUGUUUUUUUUUUUUUGUCAUUCAAAAGCUAUUUUGUUGAAUUAGGUCCCAGCUAUUUAUCUUUCUUUUUAUUGCAUUUGCUUUUGGGUUUUUGGUCAUAAAAUUAUUGCCUAAGCCAAUGUCUAGAAAGGUUUUUCCAGUGUUAUCUUCUAGAGUUUUUAUAGUUUUAGGUCUUAGGUUUAAGUCUUUAAUCCAUCCUGAGUUGAUUUUUGAAUAAGGUGAGAGAUGAGGAUCCAGUUUCAUUCUGCCACAUGUGGCUAGCCAAUUUUCCCAGAACUAUUUGUUGAAAAGGGUGUCUUUUCCCCACUUUAUGCUUUUAUUUGCUUUGUCGAACAUCAGUUGGCUGUAAGCAUUUUGGUUUAUUUCUGGGUUCUUAUUCUGUUCCAUUGGUCUAUGUGCCUAUUUUUAUACCAGUACCAUGCUGUUUUGGUGACUAUGGCCUUAUAGCAUAGUUUGAAAUCAGGUAGUGUGAUGCCUGCAGAUUUGUUCUUUUUGCUUAGUCUUGCUUUGUCUAUAUGGGCUCUUUUUUGUUUCCAUAUGAAUUUUAGAAUUGUUUUUUCUAAUGCUGUGAAGAAUGAUGGUGGUAUUUUGAUGGAGAUUGCAUUGAAUUUGUAGAUUGCUUUUGGCAGUAUGGUCAUUUUUACAAUAUUGAUUCUACCCAUUUAUGAGCAUGGCAUGUGUUUCCAUUUGUUUGUGUCAUCUAUGAUUUCUUUCAGCAGUGUUUUAUAGUUUUCCUUGAUUUGAUUCUCCACUUGGUCACUGUUGGUGUACAGAAAAGCUACUGAUUUGUGUACAUUAAUCUUGUAUCCAGAAACUUUGCUGAAUUAUUUUAUCAGUUCUAGGAGCUUUCUGGAGGAGUCCUUAGGAUUUUCAAGGUAAAUGAUUAUAUCAUUAGUAAACAGGGACAGUUUGAGUUCCUCUUUACUGAUUUGGAUGCCUUUUAUUUAUUUCUCUUGUCUGAUUGCUCUGGCUAGAUCUUCCAAUACUAUGAUGAAGAGGAGUGGUGAUAUAGUGACAGUCCUUGUCUUGUUUCCAUUCUCAGAGGGAAUGCUUUCAACUUUUCCCCAUUCAGUAUUUUGUUGACUCUGGGUUUGUCAUAGAUGUCUUUUACUACAUUAAGGUAUGUCCCUUGUAUGCCAAUUUUGCUGGGGGUUUUAAUCUAAAGCGAUGCUGGAUUUUGUCAAAUGCUUUUUCUGCAUCUAUUGAGAUGAUCAUGUGAUUUUUGUUUUAAAUUCUGUUUAUAUGGUGUAUCACAUUUAUUGAGUUGCAUAUCUUUAACCACCCCUGCAUCCCUGGUAUGAAACCCACUUGAUUGUGGUGGAUUACCUUUUAGAUAUGUUGUUGGAUUCAGUUAGCUAGUAUUCUGUUAAGGACUUUAGCAUCUAUGUUCAUCAAGGAUAGUGGUCUGUAGUUUUCCUUUUUGGUUAUGUUCUCUCCUGGUUUUGGUAUUAGGGUGAUGCUGGCUUCAGAGAAUGAAUUAGGGAGGGUUCCUUCUCUAUAUAUCUUGUGGAAUAAUGUCCACAGGAUUGGUACCAGUUCUUCCUUGAAUGUAUGGUAGAAUUCUGCUGUGAAUCUGUUUGGUCCUGGACUUUUUUUAUGUUGGUAAUUUUUAAAUUAUCAUUUAAAUCUCGCUGCUUGUUAUUGGUCUCUUCAGGGUAUCUACUUCUUGCUGAUUAAGCUAGGUGUAAGAUUGUCCCCAUGGCCUGAAAGCUUAAGGAGAUAUAUAACUCCUCGCUUCUCAGGCCCAGUCCCAAGGCGCAAGGCCACUUGCGUCAGCAGUGUGUGCGGCAGCAUGCACCAGCAAGAUAGCAGAGGCAGAAAAAUAGCCAGUCAGAAGACACCUACCCCUGAAGAUUGAGAAAGAGGCCAUAUGGGUAAAACAUAGCAGUUACGUCAGACUAGGACACUUCCUGUUUACAGGAGACUGUAAAACAUUUGUCCCAUCCUCACUUGGUGCUAACGCCAUUUUAAGCCUCAGCCCGCCUGCACCCAGGCACUCAUUAAGACAGCAUGUUGCUCCACACUGCCUCGUGUUGUCUGUUGGUGCACUCUCGGGGUUCAAACUGUUACAAGAACCUUAUAUUUUGGUGCUGAAAUCUGGGAGGGGCUCAGGUCUGCAUCCCCCAUGGACCUAGCCCUCCACCCCAAAGAGCAGGCCACAGCAGCUGGACAAAGGAAGGUCCUCAGCCUCCAGUCGCCUCUCUGUGCAUGCAGUCGGUCACUGAUCUCGCCUACUGGCACAGACGUGUUUCCAGACAAUCCAGAUGAUGCUUCUGCUACAGCGACAUGACAGGAAUGUAAGAUUCUCCCGGGGCCUGAAAGCUUAAGGAGAUGAAUAACUCCUCCCUUCUCAGGCCCAGUCCCAAGGCGCAAGGGCCACUUGUGUCAGCAGUGUGCACCAGCAGCGUGCGCCGGCAAGAUAGCAGAAGCAUGAAAAGGGCCGGCCAGAAGACACCUACUCUGGCUGGAAGACACGUACCCCUGAAGAUCAAGAAAGAAGCUAUCUGGGAACAAUGUAGCAGUUACGUCAGACCAGGACACUUCCUGUUUACAGGAGACUAUAAAACCUUUGUCCUAUCAUCACUUGAUGUGGACGCCAUUUUAGGCCUCAGCCCGCCUGCACCCAGGCACUGAUUAAAACAGCAUGUUGCUCCACACUGCCUCGUGUUGUCUGUUGGCAUGCUCUUGGGGUUCAAACUGAUACAAGAACCUUACACUAGGAGGGUUGUGUUUUUCC